This 301-nucleotide ribosomal RNA is filed under the name uncultured bacterium. RNAcentral describes it as "partial 16S ribosomal RNA". It matches the Rfam family "Bacterial small subunit ribosomal RNA", at positions 509 to 807 of the family's 1533-position model. The record is from RNAcentral.
CAGUCGCCGCGGGAAUACGAACCGUGCGAACGUUAUUCGGAAUCACUGGGCUUAAAGCGCGUGUAGGCGGAUCAGUACGUCUGGUGUUGAAAUCCCCCGGCUCAACCGGGGAAGUGGCACGGAUACGGCUGGUCUGGAGGGGGGUAGGGGAAUCGGGAACUUCCGGUGGAGCGGUGAAAUGCGUUGAGAUCGGAAGGAACGCCCGUGGCGAAAGCGCGGUUCUGGACCCCACCUGACGCUGAGACGCGAAAGCCAGGGGAGCGAACGGGAUUAGAUACCCCAGUAGUCCCUGUCUCUUAUA